RNAcentral lists this ribosomal RNA (414 nucleotides) under uncultured microorganism. RNAcentral's name for it is "bacterial SSU rRNA". It matches the Rfam family "Archaeal small subunit ribosomal RNA", at positions 459 to 872 of the family's 1478-position model. The record is from RNAcentral.
CAGCAGCCGCGGUAAUACCGGCGGCCCGAGUGGCGGUCACUCUUAUUUGGCUUAAAGCGUCCGUAGCCGGGUUGGGAAGGCCUCCGGGAAAUCUGGCCGCUUAACGGUCAGAAUGCCGGAGGAUACUCCCAGCCUAGGGAGCGGGAGAGGCCGAGGGUAUUCCCGGAGUAGGGGUGAAAUCCUAUAAUCCCGGGAGGACCACCUGUGGCGAAGGCGCUCGGCUGGAACGCGUCCGACGGUGAGGGACGAAGGCCAGGGGAGCAAACCGGAUUAGAUACCCGGGUAGUCCUGGCUGUAAACGAUGCGGACUUUGUGUCGGACAAGCUAUGAGCUUGUCCGGUGCCGGAGGGAAACCGUUAAGUCCGCCGCCUGGGGAGUACGGCCGCAAGGCUGAAACUUAAAGGAAUUGGCGGG